AGCAGUCGCCGCGGGAAUACGAGGGGGGCAAGCGUUGUUCGGAUUUAUUGGGCGUAAAGGGCGCGUAGGCGGCCAUUCAAGUUAGAUGUGAAAGUCCUGGGCUCAACCUGGGGGCUGCGCUUGAUACUUGGUUGCUUGAGUGGGGAAGAGGGUCGUGGAAUUCCCAGUGUAGAGGUGAAAUUCGUAGAUAUUGGGAAGAACACCGGUGGCGAAGGCGGCGACCUGGUCCUUGACUGACGCUGAGGCGCGAAAGCGUGGGGAGCAAACAGGAUUAGAUACCCCAGUAGUCCCUGUCUCUUAUAC
Molecule: ribosomal RNA, 303 nt
Filed under: uncultured bacterium
Lineage: Bacteria
Description: partial 16S ribosomal RNA
Rfam family: Bacterial small subunit ribosomal RNA
Source: RNAcentral